UACAGAGGGUGCAAGCGUUGUUCGGAAUUAUUGGGCGUAAAGCGCGUGUAGGCGGCUUUGCAAGUCGGGUGUGAAAGCCCUCAGCUCAACUGAGGAAGUGCGCCCCGAAACUGCAGAGCUUGAGUGCCGGAGAGGGUGGCGGAAUUCCCCAAGUAGAGGUGCAAAUUCGUAGAUAUGGGGAGGAACACCGGUGGCGAAGGCGGCCACCUGGACGGUAACUGACGCUGAGACGCGAAAGCGUGGGGAGCAAACAGG
RNAcentral lists this ribosomal RNA (255 nucleotides) under uncultured bacterium. RNAcentral's name for it is "partial 16S ribosomal RNA". It matches the Rfam family "Bacterial small subunit ribosomal RNA", at positions 524 to 776 of the family's 1533-position model. The record is from RNAcentral.